UGAGCUGCUUAAUCCCAUCUGUUGGAGGAGAGCUGAGCACAGCCCUGACUCAUAAUAAGUGCUCAGCACACAGGCUUACGACGUCUCUUCUUACAAAGAGCUGUGCCCGGGUCCCAGCAGCCACAGAACAGGCUGGUGUCUGACCAACCCACCGACGGCGGAUGCUUCAGUGGGUCUGACCAGCACGCUGAUCCAGACGCUCGCCUAAAGCUUCCAUUCUGCCCCUGCAUUUCUGGGUGUUUUCUAACCAUAAAGAAGCUAGGAAUUGAGAUCAGCUGAGGUUAUCAGCCCUGGGAAUGUGAAUACUACUUGAGAAUGGGUGAUACUUCUCCACGGAAAUCAUUCUGCGGUCUGUCUUUGCCAUACAUAUCACAUGCAGUAAAAUGGAGAACAGCUUUCCACUUUAAACGUCCUUGAAUGUCUGAGCUGAGACUCUAUUAGCUUUUACCACCGAAAGGAGCAAAAGUCUUCCUACGAACCCCAGUGCAUGGAAGUGAGGCCGGGAACCGUGCUCCUCUCUGAGCUUUCUGGAAUUGCAGCUGGGAGUUCCCGGGGUCCCAGAGCGACCGUUCCAACAACCUUACAACAGGAUGUAAGAGUCCACUGCCCAGUAACUCCAGCCUGCCUCCCACAUGGAACGAAGUUGGAGCUUUUCAUAACUUUAACAGAAACUGGGAUGCGGAGUGAAGUUCUCCCUGAAACCUGAAAUGGGCAGCUGGGGUUCAGUCUGAGCACCCUCGGAGGCCAGCAGGGAGGCGUAUCUCGCGGAGGACCCGCUGCAGACCUGGGCACCUGGCACACAUAGUCCCUGCAAGCCAGGAUCAUGCUCUGUGUACACGUGGCAGAGAUGCACUAGAGACGACGGCUGGCCGUCGGAACGAAGAGCUCCAUGUGAUUCCCACGGGUCCCAUGCUGUUACUCAGCCCCUGGAUGUCUGCCUGACCACAUCUCUCUAGGACGGAAUCAGGACCAAGUGGGGAGGAUGGAUGGAUGAGUCCAGGGACACGAGCGGGCGCGAAAGGAGGACAAAGGUGCACAUGGAUGUGACUGGUGAGCGCUCUGCUUGCCUGGUGGGAGCUUCUGGGUGGAGAGGAAGACACUGCCCUGCAGCCAUCCUGCAGCCCCAUUUGUCUGCUGACCAAAUGGGUGGAGAGUCUGAGGGUCCUUCAAGCAGACUGACACACACUACAUGGUGGAAUCUGGUGGACCUGAGUUUGAAUUCCAGCUCUGCCCCCCACUUACUGAGUGACCUUGGGCAAGACUUAGUUUCUGCAUCUGUAAAAUGGGAUUAAUAAUCUCCCCCCCCCCCCAAGUUUGUUGUGAAGGUAAAAUGAGAAAAAAAACAUGUAGGGUACUUGGCAUAUAGUAAGUGCUCAGUAAAUGAAAACAGUAGCCAACAUUGAUUGAAGGAUUACUCUGCUCCUGGUACUUUCGCCAGGUGCCAGGAUCCGGGAUAACAAAGACUGACUUGGUUUCUGCCUCUAGAACUGACGGUCUAAAGAACUAGGGCUGGCUUUCAAACUGUACUAAAUUCUUGGGUAGAAAUAUGAACACAUCCUUUACUGGCUGAGGUGAACGAAUUCCUGUUUUCUGCUCUCUUUGAUGAUAUUUUUAUAAAGAUAAAUGUUUCCUACUAUCAUCAGCAUUAUCACCAUCACCACCAUCACUACCACCUCCACCACCAUUACUACCAUCAUCAUUAUCAUCACCAUCAUCUUCACCAUCAUCUUCACCAGCACCAUCACCACCAUUACGAUUAUCUUCAUCAUCAUCUUCAAGCACAUUAUUAAGUAGGUACUACAUACCAGGACCUUGGCUUAGCCCUUUGCAUGGAUUAUCUCAUUGACUUUCAAGUAAAGCACACUUUGUAAGCAGCAACCUUACUGCUCAAAGCAUGGGCCAGCAGCCUGUGUACAACCUGGGAGCUUGUCAGAAACACAAAAUCUCAGGUCCCACCCUAGUCCUACUGAUUCAGAAUCUGCAUUUUAACAAUAUCCCUAGUAAUGUGCAGGCAAGUUCAAGUUUGAGAAGCACUGGUUCUUAGUGGCAAUUAUCUCUUGGCAAAAAGCGACUGGUUUGGAGAGAGUCUCCCAUCAUGCCUUCAGGCCCUUUCACUCUUCCUUCCCAGGGACCCCACUGACCAAUCCCACUGACAACCUCACAAAGCUAAGAAAACAAAGGGGCACAACAACAAAAAUCACAAUACUUUUACGAGGCUGAAAGAGAGUUGGAAGCAGGGAGGAGGGUGAGAGGAAGAGUCCUGGACAGAGGGCUGGCAGCCCGGCAGAGCCCCACCCGUCACACUUCUCUAAGGCCUGAGGUCCCUGGGGGAGGCGUGGGAGGGCGCCUUCCUGUGAUGACACCCCUGCGUGAGGGCCUAUGGUCUGGGAAGGGAGGAGCUUCCACAAGCCAGGAGAGGAAAAGCGGGCUGAGGACCACCCCAGACUCUCCCAGCACCCCCCUUGAAAGGCAGACGAAAGAUGGACGAUUUGGGGCAGCCUGCCAAUGGACAACUUGGGACCCCUGCUUGCCCCAACUCUGCCCAGGUCCUGUUGGCAAAGGCAAAUGAACGCUGACUGAAAGUUUACAAAGUCUUAAGAAUGCCCCAGUAUACUGCCAGCAAACAAUUAGCAUGAAUGAAAGCCUGACACUUAGAACGUGAGACUUUUUGCUCCAUUAAAUAUGCAACCUAAGAGUUUUCCUCCAUUCAACUUCUAUUAAAUACAAGAUUCCAAGAGAUCAUUUCAUUCAAGCCCAAGGACCAGGCAGCUGAAGGAACAGAAGCAAAACAGAUUUCCGAAAAGUAACUUCAAAUGGAUGAUGUUGGGCUCAGAUAGAAGGAUUUAAUUUUUAUAAAACCCUAAGAUGGUUUAGUCAUAUUUUUUAAACACAUGUUUUUUAGAAAAACUUAAAUGGAAAACAUCCUCCUCUUGAGUCUAUUUCAUACUAGAAUGAAACCAGAUAAUUAGAAAUCAUGUUUCUGGUAGGGUAUUUUUAUACUCGAGAAAUGCGGGACAAUUUCAUACUAAAUGAAAUACCUAGUUACACAA
Balaenoptera acutorostrata (minke whale) is the source of this 3050-nucleotide long non-coding RNA. RefSeq lists it as uncharacterized. The record is from RefSeq and is a predicted model, not a curated record. Lineage: Eukaryota; Metazoa; Chordata; Mammalia; Artiodactyla; Balaenopteridae. The transcript has 3 exons.